CCAUUUGUAGAAAAGAUACCCCAGUUUCUUUCUGAUAUCGGUCCAGGUCUUUUGUCUUCAUUGAACAUCUCGUAAAUAAAGGUGUUAAUGGGAUUUUUCGGUUGACUAGGUGGGCCAGUAUCAUUUGAAACACGCCGAAUCAGGUUAUUAUUAAAAGUUUCGGCAUUUUCCUUAGUAGCAUCGGGCUCAUUGGCACCACCAUCCCAAGGCCAACCAGUUUCGGUCACAACAAUUGGGAUAUCUGAAAAGUUGAAGGCCGCCGAAUCAGGUUAUUAUUAAAUGUUUCGGCAUUUUCCUUAGUAGCAUCAGGCUCAUUGACACCACCAUCCCAUGGCCAACCAGUCUCGGUCACAACAAUUGGGAUAUCCGAAAAGUUGAGGGCUGCUAUAGAGUUGUAUGCAGCAUCAACUAAAGC
RNAcentral lists this long non-coding RNA (415 nucleotides) under Nicotiana benthamiana. RNAcentral's name for it is "long non-coding RNA (NBEN_LNC005859)". Lineage: Eukaryota; Viridiplantae; Streptophyta; Magnoliopsida; Solanales; Solanaceae. The record is from RNAcentral.